AGGCCAGUGGCUCAACGGCAGAGCACCGCGCUCCAAACGCGGGGGUUGGGGGUUCGAAUCCCUCCUGGCCUGCCA
This 75-nucleotide transfer RNA is filed under the name hydrothermal vent metagenome. RNAcentral describes it as "tRNA-Trp-CCA". It matches the Rfam family "tRNA". Rfam says of the family: Transfer RNA (tRNA) molecules are approximately 80 nucleotides in length. Their secondary structure includes four short double-helical elements and three loops (D, anti-codon, and T loops). Further hydrogen bonds mediate the characteristic L-shaped molecular structure. tRNAs have two regions of fundamental functional importance: the anti-codon, which is responsible for specific mRNA codon recognition, and the 3' end, to which the tRNAs corresponding amino acid is attached (by aminoacyl-tRNA synthetases). tRNAs cope with the degeneracy of the genetic code in two manners: having more than one tRNA (with a specific anti-codon) for a particular amino acid; and 'wobble' base-pairing, i.e. permitting non-standard base-pairing at the 3rd anti-codon position. The record is from RNAcentral.